AGCGGCGGACGGGUGAGUAAUGCCUAGGAAAUUGCCCUGAUGUGGGGGAUAACCAUUGGAAACGAUGGCUAAUACCGCAUAAUGCCUACGGGCCAAAGAGGGGGACCUUCGGGCCUCUCGCGUCAGGAUAUGCCUAGGUGGGAUUAGCUAGUUGGUGAGGUAAUGGCUCACCAAGGCGACGAUCCCUAGCUGGUCUGAGAGGAUGAUCAGCCACACUGGAACUGAGACACGGUCCAGACUCCUACGGGAGGCAGCAGUGGGGAAUAUUGCACAAUGGGCGCAAGCCUGAUGCGGCCAUGCCGCGUGUGUGAAGAAGGCCUUCGGGUUGUAAAGCACUUUCAGUCGUGAGGAAGGUAGUGUAGUUAAUAGCUGCAUUAUUUGACGUUAGCGACAGAAGAAGCACCGGCUAACUCCGUGCCAGCAGCCGCGGUAAUACGGAGGGUGCGAGCGUUAAUCGGAAUUACUGGGCGUAAAGCGCAUGCAGGUGGUUUGUUAAGUCAGAUGUGAAAGCCCGGGGCUCAACCUCGGAAUUGCAUUUGAAACUGGCAGA
Molecule: ribosomal RNA, 550 nt
Filed under: uncultured bacterium
Lineage: Bacteria
Description: bacterial SSU rRNA
Rfam family: Bacterial small subunit ribosomal RNA
Source: RNAcentral